GUCUUUUUGAAUUAAAUUUAAAGUCUAACCUGCCCACUGAAAUUUUUAAAUGGCCGCAGUAUUCUAACUGUGCAAAGGUAGCAUAAUCAUUAGUCUUUUAAUUGAAGGCUGGAAUGAAUGGUUGGACGAAAUAUUAACUGUUUCAUUUAAAUUUUUUAUAGAAUUUUAUUUUUUAGUCAAAAAGCUAAAAUUUAUUUAAAAGACGAGAAGACCCUAUAAAUCUUUAUAUUUUGUUUAUUUUAAUUAUAAAGAUUAUUUUUAUUAUAAUAAAUUAAAAUAUUUUAUUGGGGUGAUAUUAAAAUUUAAAAAACUUUUAAUUUUUAAAUACAUUAAUAUAUGAAUAAUUGAUCCAUUAAUAAUGAUUAAAAAUUUAAGUUACUUUAGGGAUAACAGCGUAAUUUUUUUGGAGAGUUCAUAUCGAUAAAAAAGAUUGCGACCUCGAUGUUGGAUUAAGAUAUAAUUUUGGGUGUAGCCGUUCAAAUUUUAAGUCUGUUCGACUUUUAAAUUCUU
Molecule: ribosomal RNA, 510 nt
Filed under: Scaptomyza nigrita
Lineage: Eukaryota; Metazoa; Arthropoda; Insecta; Diptera; Drosophilidae
Description: partial 16S ribosomal RNA
Rfam family: Bacterial large subunit ribosomal RNA (bases 386-510)
Source: RNAcentral